This is a long non-coding RNA of Canis lupus familiaris (dog), 485 nucleotides long. RefSeq lists it as uncharacterized. The record is from RefSeq and is a predicted model, not a curated record. The transcript is spliced from 3 exons. Lineage: Eukaryota; Metazoa; Chordata; Mammalia; Carnivora; Canidae.
GGCCAGUGUGGGGAGGCUCCGAGCGUCGGCUCAGGAGACGCACGGCCCGGAUGGCGACCGUGGAGACGGGGGACCCACUGGCAGGUGCUGGGGGUGACCCUGCAGGCCGUCGCCUUCCAAGUCCUGGCAGCAGCGGGCACAGCCGCGAAGCCCGCGCCCUACAGGUGCGCCCCGCGUGCCCGGGGCGGGGGCAGGGGUAAAAGGUCGGGGCGGUGGAGUCGGCCGACUGAGGAAUAAGGCAGGACGCCAGGCUGCGGGCACCGCCCACGUGCUGCUUCCCACGAGCUAAUCAAGUGGAAAUGUCAAUGGGGAAAUCCAGGUCAACUAUAAUUCCCAUCAUGACUAAGCAGCAUAAAGACUGACUACAGCAACCUAGAACUGACCUCAGAGAGAAAUCAGUCAAAGCAGGAUCAGUCGUUUCCAGGAUUCUUGGAUUUUAUUUAUUCAUGAGAGACACAGAGAGAGGCAGAGACACAGGCAGAGGG